AAGAAUGGACCUCCAGAACGAAUUAAGUUCUUAACCCGAGGUACCACUGUACCUACAAGAUGCUCAGAAAGUUGAGGUCAUUUUAAUCUGUUUCUGUACAGUGGUACCUCGGGUUAAGUACUUAAUUCGUUCCGGAG
Molecule: non-coding RNA, 137 nt
Organism: Podarcis lilfordi (Lilford's wall lizard)
Lineage: Eukaryota; Metazoa; Chordata; Lepidosauria; Squamata; Lacertidae
Source: the annotation of a GenBank genome assembly